RNAcentral lists this ribosomal RNA (440 nucleotides) under uncultured bacterium. Its description in RNAcentral is "partial 16S ribosomal RNA". It matches the Rfam family "Bacterial small subunit ribosomal RNA", at positions 338 to 795 of the family's 1533-position model. The record is from RNAcentral.
CCUACGGGAGGCAGCAGUGGGGGAUAUUGCACAAUGGGGGAAACCCUGAUGCAGCAACGCCGCGUGAGUGACGAAGGUCUUCGGAUUGUAAAACUCUGUUCUUGGUGAAGAUAAUGACGGUAGCCAAGGAGAAAGCUCCGGCUAACUACGUGCCAGCAGCCGCGGUAAUACGUAGGGAGCGAGCGUUGUCCGGAAUUACUGGGUGUAAAGGGUGCGUAGGCGGCCUUGCAAGUCAGGCGUGAAAACCAUGGGCUCAACCCGUGGACUGCGUUUGAAACUGUGAGGCUUGAGUGAAGUAGAGGUAGGCGGAAUUCCCGGUGUAGCGGUGAAAUGCGUAGAGAUCGGGAGGAACACCAGUGGCGAAGGCGGCCUACUGGGCUUUAACUGACGCUGAGGCACGAAAGCAUGGGUAGCAAACAGGAUUAGAUACCCGAGUAGUC